RNAcentral lists this ribosomal RNA (253 nucleotides) under uncultured bacterium. Its description in RNAcentral is "partial 16S ribosomal RNA". It matches the Rfam family "Bacterial small subunit ribosomal RNA", at positions 524 to 776 of the family's 1533-position model. The record is from RNAcentral.
UACAGGGGGGGCAAGCGUUGUUCGGAAUUACUGGGCGUAAAGGGUCUGUAGGUGGCCAACUAAGUCAGACGUGAAAUCCCUCAGCUUAACUGGGGAACUGCGUCUGAUACUGGAUGGCUUGAGUGUGGGAGAGGAAUGCGGAAUUCCAGGUGUAGCGGUGAAAUGCGUAGAUAUCAGGAGGAACACCUGUGGCGAAGGCGGCUCACUGGACCAUAACUGACGCUGAUGCACGAAAGCUAGGGGAGCAAACAGG